This is a long non-coding RNA of Lonchura striata (white-rumped munia), 228 nucleotides long. RefSeq lists it as uncharacterized. The record is from RefSeq and is a predicted model, not a curated record. Lineage: Eukaryota; Metazoa; Chordata; Aves; Passeriformes; Estrildidae.
GCAGCCAUGUGGAUGAUGAAUCCGUGCCUCAGUAACAGCCCAAGCCAAGCGUGGAUGGCAGCACUCGUGGGAAGGUGGCAAGGAGAUCUCAACUUCCAGGACUAUUCCUCGGUAUAAAAGUGUGGUGCCUUUUUGAGCCCUGUGAGUCCUAAGGCUGGAAUGUUCCAAGUCCUGUGCUACAGAGCCUCACUGAACUGGGGGUGAUCUGAUAUGACAGGGAUGAACAAU